GAAAGAUGGCGUAAGCUAUCGCUUUUGGAUGGACCCGCGGCGUAUUAGCUAGUUGGUGAGGUAAUGGCUCACCAAGGCGAUGAUACGUAGCCGAACUGAGAGGUUGAUCGGCCACAUUGGGACUGAGACACGGCCCAAACUCCUACGGGAGGCAGCAGUAGGGAAUCUUCCACAAUGGACGCAAGUCUGAUGGAGCAACGCCGCGUGAGUGAAGAAGGCUUUCGGGUCGUAAAACUCUGUUGUUGGAGAAGAAUGGUCGGCAGAGUAACUGUUGCCGGCGUGACGGUAUCCAACCAGAAAGCCACGGCUAACUACGUGCCAGCAGCCGCGGUAAUACGUAGGUGGCAAGCGUUAUCCGGAUUUAUUGGGCGUAAAGCGAGCGCAGGCGGUUUUUUAAGUCUGAUGUGAAAGCCCUCGGCUUAACCGAGGAAGCGCAUCGGAAACUGGGAAACUUGAGUGCAGAAGAGGACAGUGGAACUCCAUGUGUAGCGGUGAAAUGCGUAGAUAUAUGGAAGAACACCAGUGGCGAAGGCGGCUGUCUGGUCUGUAACUGACGCUGAGGCUCGAAAGCAUGGGUAGCGAACAGGAUUAGAUACCCUGGUAGUCCAUGCCGUAAACGAUGAAUGCUAGGUGUUGGAGGGUUUCCGCCCUUCAGUGCCGCAGCUAACGCAUUAAGCAUUCCGCCUGGGGAGUACGACCGCAAGGUUGAAACUCAAAGGAA
RNAcentral lists this ribosomal RNA (721 nucleotides) under uncultured bacterium. RNAcentral's name for it is "bacterial SSU rRNA". It matches the Rfam family "Bacterial small subunit ribosomal RNA", at positions 202 to 909 of the family's 1533-position model. The record is from RNAcentral.